RNAcentral lists this unclassified non-coding RNA (336 nucleotides) under soil metagenome. Its description in RNAcentral is "partial contains 5.8S ribosomal RNA, internal transcribed spacer 2, and large subunit ribosomal RNA". The stretch from base 1 to 120 matches the Rfam family "5.8S ribosomal RNA", at positions 35 to 154 of the family's 154-position model. The record is from RNAcentral.
GAUGAAGAACGCAGUGAAAUGCGAUAAGUAAUGUGAAUUGCAGAAUUCAGUGAAUCAUCGAAUCUUUGAACGCACAUUGCGCCCGCCAGCAUUCUGGCGGGCAUGCCUGUUCGAGCGUCAUUUCAACCCUCAAGCUCUGCUUGGUGUUGGGGCCCUACGUCUGACGUAGGCCCUCAAAGACAGUGGCGGACCCUCUCGGAGCCUCCUUUGCGUAGUAACUAACGUCUCGCACUGGGAUUCGGAGGGACUCUUGCCGUAAAACCCCCAAUUUUUACAGGUUGACCUCGGAUCAGGUAGGAAUACCCGCUGAACUUAAGCAUAUCAAUAAGCGGAGGA